This is a long non-coding RNA of Arabidopsis lyrata subsp. lyrata, 471 nucleotides long. RefSeq lists it as uncharacterized. The transcript is spliced from 2 exons. Lineage: Eukaryota; Viridiplantae; Streptophyta; Magnoliopsida; Brassicales; Brassicaceae. The record is from RefSeq and is a predicted model, not a curated record.
CCGAUGUUAGGAUAAGGUUGCUCAGGCGUGCUAUUUAGCUGGAGAACUGGUGGUUGCAAGAAAGCAUUGUGAAGCGUCCAUUAAGAUUCUGAAGAGGCUAUAUGAGGAUGAACAUGUAGUGAUUGGAAAUGAAAUGGUGAAGCUUGCGUCGAUUCAGCUUGCAUCAGGUGAUCGCAGUGGAGCUUGGGACACAACAAAGAGUCUGUCUCAGAUAUUCUCAAAGUAUUACGGGUCACAUGCUGAGACUCUCUUCUCUUAUCUCCCAUGUCUUAAGCAAGAAGCCGCCAAAGCUGUGAAUUUGUCAUCUUCUUAACCCAAAAAAUUGUGUUUGUUAGUACAAAAAUAUUAGGCCGGUUUAGUUUUUAUUUUUCCUUGGCAGAAACGAUGUCGUUUUCUUCGACUUAGGGUUUUAACCCAAAAAAGGUCCAAAACGACGAACACACGAAUUUAUUUUUUUUCCUCUGAGCUUAA